AAAAUACGGAAGCCCAGGUAUUUCCCUAUCAUGAUAAAUUCAAAAAUCAAAAUAUUAAUAAAUUGCCUUAUUUUAAUCCAAGGGCAUAUUUGCAAAUAUAGCGUUAGGUUGAGGAUAAUUUUGGUACUACACAUGACAAAAUGAGAUUCCUUCGGCGGACCCUCCUUGAAAAUCUAAUUUCCAAAAGCAACUCAAAUCAAGCUUUUAAUGCUCUACUCAACGGGCUUGGGCUUGUAGUCCAGUGGUGAAUCAUUGCCCUCAAAGUUAAACAUGACUAUAAGGGUAAUGGUUUGAGUCCCUACGGACUCAACCUCUCUCAAUUAAAUAUAAUUGUGUGGAGAUUACUUACAACGUCUUUCUCUCUUGUGAAAUGCGAGUGGAGUAGAGACAUCCCUCCUCUGUAAGAGAUAUUUGGCUGGGCAUGUGCUUCAUAGACUAAAAAUAUAAUAAUGUAAGUCCCAUGUAUAUAUAUCUGAUUGUAAAUAUCAGCGUGAUGACCUGCUGUCAUAACAGUUGUAUAUAUCUCUGUGUAAUACAGUAAUCUGAUGCUUAAUCAGUUCAAAAAAAAAAUGCUCUACUCAACAGGGGUGGGGGAAUCAUAUGAAACCGAAAGUCAGUCGCCCAAAUUAAAAUAACUAAAAUACUUAUAAAUUAUUUAAGGUUGA
Molecule: long non-coding RNA, 665 nt
Filed under: Citrus x clementina
Lineage: Eukaryota; Viridiplantae; Streptophyta; Magnoliopsida; Sapindales; Rutaceae
Description: Citrus clementina (C. clementina) long non-coding RNA (CCLE_LNC003142)
Source: RNAcentral